GCAAUGGGCGAAAGCCUGACGGAGCAACGCCGCGUGAGGGAUGAAGGCCUCUGGGCUGUAAACCUCUUUUCUCAAGGAAGAAGAUCUGACGGUACUUGAGGAAUAAGCCUCGGCUAAUUCCGUGCCAGCAGCCGCGGUAAUACGGGAGUGGCAAGCGUUAUCCGGAAUUAUUGGGCGUAAAGCGUCCGCAGGCGGUCCUUGCAAGUCUGUCGUUAAAGCGUGGAGCUUAACUCCAUUUCAGCGGUGGAAACUGCCAGACUAGAGAAUGGU
RNAcentral lists this ribosomal RNA (270 nucleotides) under uncultured Synechococcus sp. Its description in RNAcentral is "partial 16S ribosomal RNA". It matches the Rfam family "Bacterial small subunit ribosomal RNA", at positions 368 to 652 of the family's 1533-position model. The record is from RNAcentral. Lineage: Bacteria; Bacillati; Cyanobacteriota; Cyanophyceae; Synechococcales; Synechococcaceae.